This 440-nucleotide ribosomal RNA is filed under the name uncultured bacterium. Its description in RNAcentral is "partial 16S ribosomal RNA". It matches the Rfam family "Bacterial small subunit ribosomal RNA", at positions 338 to 795 of the family's 1533-position model. The record is from RNAcentral.
CCUACGGGUGGCAGCAGUGGGGGAUAUUGCACAAUGGGGGAAACCCUGAUGCAGCGACGCCGCGUGAGUGAAGAAGGAUCUCGGUAUGUAAAGCUCUGUUCGUGGUGAAGAAAAUGACGGUAGCCAAGGAGGAAGCUCCGGCUAACUACGUGCCAGCAGCCGCGGUAAUACGUAGGGGGCGAGCGUUGUCCGGAUUUACUGUGUGUAAAGGGUGCGCAGACGGCACUGCAAGUCAGGAGUGAAAGCUCGGGGCUUAACCCCUAAAUUGCGCUUGAAACUGUGGGGCUGGAGUGAAGGAGGGGCAGGCGGAAUUCCCGGUGUAGCGGUGAAAUGCGUAGAGAUUGGGAGGAACACCAGUGGCGAAGGCGGCCUGCUGGACUGUAACUGACGCUCAGGCACGAAAGCGUGGGGAGCAAACAGGAUUAGAUACCCGUGUAGUC